GCCCAUGGCAUGUGGAAGGUCCCAGGCCAGAGAUUUAACCCCACCAGAGCAGCAACCCAAGCCGCUGCAGUGACAACCCAGGAGGAUACUUAACCCCCUGUGCCAAAAGAGAACUCCCAAAGCAGAUUCUUUUAGGAGGCAACAGCAUCUAGAAAGUCUAACUGUGUUGGGUUUUCUUGGUUAAGUUUCCCCUUUGCAGUGUCUUUCACUGUCAUAGUGCUUAGUCAAUGAAAACAACAUGCCUCCACCAGUUAAUACCUGGAAGACAAGCUCAGAAUCAUGACAAAGAAGCAAAGGCAAGGGCAGUUUUAGUUUGGGGGUGGGGGGAAGAAAGGCAAAGAUGGCAAAUCUUUAAAAAAAAAAUCUCCUCAGAAGACUAAAUAUAGAACUACCAUGUGACCCAGCAAUCCCACUCAUGGAAAUAUAUCUGGACAAACUUUCCUUGAAAAGACACGUGCAGCACUAAUCACAAUAGCCAAGACAUGGAAACAACCUGCAUGUUCAUCAAAAGAUGAUUGGAUUAAGAAGUGUGGUAAAUAUAAAUGAUGGAAUACUACUCAGCCAUAAAAAAGAAGAAAAUAAUGCCAUUUGCAGCAACAUGGAUGGAACGAGAGACUCUCAUAAUAAGUGAAGUUAAGUCAGAAAGAGAAAGACAAAUACCAUAUGCUAUCACUUAUAUCUGGAAUCUAAUAUAUGGCACAAAUGAACCUAUCUACAGAAAAGAAACUCAUGGACUUGGAGAACAGACUUGUGGAUACCAAAGGGGGAGGGGGAGGUAGUGGGAUGGACUGCGAGUCUUGGGUUAAUAGAUGCAAACUAUAGCCUUUAGAAUGGAUAAGCAACGAGAGUCUGCUCUAUAGCACUGGGAAGGAUAUCUAGUCACUUCUGAUGGAGCAGGAUAACUGAGAAAAAGAAUGUAUACACGUAUGUGUGACUGGGUCACUUUGCUGUACAGCAGAAAAUUGACAGAACAGUGUAAAACAACAAUACAGUUGUUAUAGGGAAAAAAAUCAUUUAAAAAAUAAAUAAAAUUUAAUUUGCCAUAAAUUAGGCAAAAUUUAGGCUGUUAGGCAAAAAUGAUCAGGUGAAAACCAUACUCAUGUUUCCCUUUCAUAGCACACAGUUUUUGCUGGAAAAUGAACAAAAACACUUGCAAUGAAAUGUGGAGUUUAUGACAUAUAGAAGUUAAAUGUAUGACUAUAAUAGCACAGGGUCCAGGAAGAGAGACACAUUCUGAAAUAAAGGCUGUUUUACUACACAAUAAGUGUCAUAAAAUCACUCAAAAGUAAGCUGUGAUAAGAUGUUCAUCAUGACAAAAUUUGAGGGGACCUGCACACUCAGAAUUUUUAUCAUAGUGAUAUUUUUACAAAUGACUAUUUAUGCUACAACAUCAAAUUUUAUACUUUCAAUGUUUUCAGUUUCCAGGCUAUCAAUUAUGUCUAAAUAAAGCUGUUUAAAGGGGGGGGGAUUUAAAAUUUGUGCUGAAAAUCUGUGUUCUAAUUGAGCGUCUAGGAUUUCCUUGCUAAGUUUGUGCCUCUGGUCAUGUGGCUUGCUAUUUAUGUCCUUUAGUUUUCUCAUUCACAGACUUUCUCUCUUGUUUGGGGAUUACAUAAGAGAAGAGACGCACCUAAUACAGAGUAAGUUCACGACAUGCCAGGCUUCACCAUCGUAGUCAUUUCCAAUCAUCAUCCGCUCCAUCUCAAAUUCCUGGUUAGAGUGAGGGUAGAGCGUCUUUAAGUAGGAAGUACUUUUAGAGUUAGUGUCUGUCUUAAUGUGCUUCCAGACAUAAUACACACGGCUUCUUUAAAACGGGUCAAAGGCCACAUCUGUAAUUUUUAAAAUUCUUAUACACCAGUGGGAAAAAAAUAUCUACACAAAAAUCUUCUCCAUCAAGCCAGAAAGUAGUCAUGUACAUGCUGAUUUUGUGUCAAGAUUUAUAAACACACAACGUGUCUUUUACAUAUUAGGAAUUCAUGAAUGUAUACCUGGCGGCAUGCAUGGAUGAACCACAGUGCCAAUUUUUGUGCUUUAAUAGUGUGAUGUGAUCACUAAGCCAUAAAACAUCUUUAGUAAACAGCAUUCAGCAGAAUGUGAUUAAUCUAAACAUCUUUGAAACCUUUACUGACUGUGCGUGUUGUGGAUGUGAAAUUUCUGGAAACUGAAUCUCUAGCCUGUUGGAACAAUGGCGGGACAGAUGGCCAGUUGUUACAUAAGGCAGUAGUUGAAGAAUUUGCCUCUCAGCAACCUCUUCAAGCUAAGAGUAAGCAUCUGGUGGGUAUGGACGAGGUAUUAAGUGGACUGCAGAGUCUGGGAGGGAAGCCACAUGGCUGCUCUGAGUUCUCUAGGCUUCCUCAAAGACAGCGCCAUAUGGAUGUACAUUGGGAGAAGGGUGGCUCAAAUGGAAACUGAAGAAAGAAACAAGCUGAAGGAAAUGAGAAACAGAAGUUCAGCAGAUUUGCGAAGAACUAAAAUCGGAGGCCUAAACUUGAGCUCAUAGUUGUUUCCAUUUAUUAUACAACUUACUUCAUGACAUUUCUCUGCCAAGGCAAUGCCAUUUAAGGACUGACACAGUGUGAUUCAUAGAGUCCUACACACGGAGCUAUUUUAUGAUUGUUUGGUAUGUCAGGGUCCAUUUGUAUAUUUAGUUCUCUACAUACGUUAACUAUUUCUUUGUAAAAAAUUUUCCUGGACUUACAAGUUGUGCGCGUUUCAGGUGUACAGCAAUGUGAAUCAUAUAUAUAUAUAUAUAUAUGCCCACUUUUUCUCAUAUAAGUUAUUGCAACCUGAUUAGAUUUCCCUGUGCUAUGCAGGACAUUCUCAUGAAUCAUCUAUUUUAUACAGUAGUGUGUACAUUUUAUUCCAGUCCUCCAAAUUCCUCCCUUUCCCCACGGUAACAGUAAGAUCGAUUUUGAGAUCUGUGAAUUUGUUUCUGUUUUAUACAUAAGUUCUUUUGUAUCGUUUUUAUUAGAUUCAACAUAUACAUGAUAUCACCAACCCUUCUGUUUACAGUCUUUUCUUGACAGAACACCAGUUACCAUUUUUGUUAAAAUCAGUGUUGGCAAUCAAAAUAACAUGUUUCAAGAUUGGUAAAUCUCCAAACACACACACACACACACACACACACACACCCACUCGGUCUGACUCAAAUGUCUGUUUAGAGUUUACCAGGAAGGGCAUUUCAUGUUCUUUUAAACUUCUUCUUCUCCAGAAACUUUUACUGAGCACUUGCUAUAUACGGGGUUCUGUGAUGUGAGAUAAAAAUACAACACUAAACAAGAAUGUUUUAAAUCCGGGAGCUGGAAGUCACAGAAAAAUACGUCAAGAGACUCCACUGGCGUGGUGGUAGUCAAUCCAAUAAUGAUGACAUAUAUUUGACCCUGGAAAAGCAAAGGAGAUUCCUGCCCAAGCCUGGGGUGACCAAUGAUGGAGGUCAGAGAGGGCUUCCUGGAAGAGGAGACAUCCAAUUAAUACUAGUUACUAACCCAAACAUAGUGAGGAAGGAAGAAACGCAGAGGGAAAAAAAUACAGCAUCAUUUGCAGAGACACAGAAGCUUGAUAGAGCUAAGCAUUUUAGGAUAUUUGGUGAGUCACGAAGUUGUUGGAGAAGGAAUAAGGAUUGAGUGUGGCAAGCGGGGUGGAGACUAGCUCAUAAUGAAAACUUUCAUGCUCUCCUUUGCUAAUCCUGGGUAUGAUAAAAGGACAUCAAUUGUUUUUAGUCGGGGAAAAGAUAGAAACAGAAUAACAAUUUUGGUAGCAUGGUAGAGAAAGGAGCUCAAAAGCUUAGGGUGUGAGUGCAUGAGAAGCAUUAGUUCUGCGGGCCUCUGGGCUUGGAGAGUGCACAAGGCGUCCCCUUGCACUUUCUUCUUUGGGACAAGCAAUGUCCAGUGACACAGGAAAAGAAGGGGCUGUGAGCAUGGCAGGGUCCCCAGGUACAGUGUUUCCAGGCUCAGACGUGGGCUGUCAGACACGUUUUUCUCCCCAAAAGCUGAAUCGCAGCCCAGCAGGCAAAGGGGACGGACCACAAGGUUCAAUCUGAUUUCCAGACUCUGUCAUUAGUCUGUGUAUAAGUGAAUACAUAAAUCUCUUUUCCAAGCGCAAUCUUUACGUGUGUGCGCCUGUGUGUAAACUGUGAAGCGAAUAUGUUCGUCACAGAACACUGCCACCUACUAGGCAUGACGUGUGUUUAAGCAAAAUACUUGUAAGCUCACUUCAUUUUAUUUUAUUUGUAUUUUUUAUUUUUUGGUUAUUUUGGCCACGCCCACACAUGUGGAAGUUCCCAGGCCAGGGAUCAAAUCCAGUGACCCGAGUCUCAGCAGUGACAACACUGGAUCCUUAACCUGUGGCACCACCAGGGAACUCCUGCAAGCUCCCUUGUGGCUUUUGGACUGGGCUCCCUGUGACGUGGGGCCAUUUCCCCCCCCCACACACACACACAUCCUUCCUAUGGAGGACCUGCUUUGGUCACAGACAAGGACAGUCAGAGCAGCCCAGCUCUCACAGGGGUCAGCACGAUGCUCCCUUAUCCUGGGUGCUCAGCCCGGGGGGAGGGGGGCCUCCCCCGCUCCAGCGCAAUGCCCAGCAGCCAAGGCCAGCCUUCUCCUGGUGGCCCUCAUUCCUCAGAAGGUAACCCUCUCCGUCUCCUUCUCAAGGGACGGGAGCCACGUUUCCUUCUUCUGGCUGCUUUAACUGCCAGUAGCUCAUGUUCUCUCUAAAGCUUUCUUUAGAAAUAAGGACCAGAAAGAUGGUGAGGGCCACUGAGAGGAAAAGACUGACGUGUGUUCCCCUCCAAGCUCAUCCAUGGCCCCCAGAACUCAUUUCGGGGCACCACAAUGUGCCAGAAAUAGAACGCCAAGCCACAUGGGCAAUUCUGAAUUGUCUUGAAGCCACUUUCAACAAGGAAAAAGAAUCAACUGGCCUCAAUUCUAAUGAUACGUCUCAUUUAACAAAAGGUAUCCAAAAUGGUAUCAUUUCAUUAUGCAAUCAACACAAAAUUAUUGGUGAGGCAUUUUACCUUUGCUUUUUUGGCACUGUGUUUGCAAUCCGAUGUGCAUCUCACGGUCAUAGCCCUUUUCCAUUGAGAAGUAUGUCCGGGGUCCAGAAGCCAUGCUCUAGAGGACU
RNAcentral lists this long non-coding RNA (5118 nucleotides) under Sus scrofa (pig). RNAcentral describes it as "lncRNA (ENSSSCG00015035750.1)". Lineage: Eukaryota; Metazoa; Chordata; Mammalia; Artiodactyla; Suidae. The record is from RNAcentral.